Molecule: ribosomal RNA, 434 nt
Filed under: uncultured Clostridiales Family XIV bacterium
Lineage: Bacteria; Bacillati; Bacillota; Clostridia; Eubacteriales; Clostridiales Family XIV. Incertae Sedis
Description: bacterial SSU rRNA
Rfam family: Bacterial small subunit ribosomal RNA
Source: RNAcentral
ACGGAAGGCAGCAGUGGGGAAUAUUGCACAAUGGGGGAAACCCUGAUGCAGCGACGCCGCGUGAGUGAAGAAGUAUUUCGGUAUGUAAAGCUCUAUCAGCAGGGAAGAAAAUGACGGUACCUGACUAAGAAGCCCCGGCUAACUACGUGCCAGCAGCCGCGGUAAUAAGUAGGGGGCAAGCGUUAUCCGGAUUUACUGGGUGUAAAGGGAGCGUAGACGGUCUUGCAAGUCUGAUGUGAAAGGCAGGGGCUCAACUCCUGGACUGCAUUGGAAACUGUGAGUCUUGAGUGUCGGAGAGGUAAGCGGAAUUCCUAGUGUAGCGGUGAAAUGCGUAGAUAUUAGGAGGAACACCAGUGGCGAAGGCGGCUUACUGGACGAUAACUGACGUUGAGGCUCGAAAGCGUGGGGAGCAAACAGGAUUAGAUACCCUGGUA